AGCAGCCGCGGUAAUUCCAGCUCCAAUAGCGUAUAUUAAAGUUGCUGCAGUUAAAAGCUCGUAGUUGAAUUUCGGGACCAUCAUGUUGGUCGUGCCUCGGUACGUACUGGCAUUGUUGGUUUCUCCCUUCUGACGAACCAUGAUGUCAUUUAUUUGGUGUCGUGGGAAAUCAGGACUGUUACUUUGAAAAGAUUAGAGUGUUUAAAGCAGGCUCACGCUUGAAUACAUUAGCAUGGAAUAAUGAAAUAGGACGUUUGAUUCUAUUUUGUUGGUUUCCAGGGUCGACAUAAUGAUUAAUAGGGAUAGUUGGGGGCAUUAGUAUUCAAUUGUCAGAGGUGAAAUUCUUGGAUUUAUUGAAGACUAACUACUGCGAAAGCAUUUGCCAAGGAUGUUUUCAUUAAUCAAGAACGAAAGUUAGGGAUCGAAGACGAUCAGAUACCGUCGUAGUCUUAACCAUAAACUAUGCCGACUAGGGAUCGGAUGAUGUUAAUUUUUAAUGUACUCU
RNAcentral lists this unclassified non-coding RNA (505 nucleotides) under uncultured Glomus. Its description in RNAcentral is "SSU rRNA". It matches the Rfam family "Eukaryotic small subunit ribosomal RNA", at positions 569 to 1078 of the family's 1831-position model. Lineage: Eukaryota; Fungi; Glomeromycota; Glomeromycetes; Glomerales; Glomeraceae. The record is from RNAcentral.